AAAAAACUCACAGCUUACAGUAAGGUUUAUAUGGGGUUUGACUGUUAACAAAAUUAUCAAGAAGCAUGCAAUUGCCGUGUUAGAGGAAAUCUCAAUAAAUUCAGGAUCCCACUUCCAUCAACCUCUAUUGAUCACCAAUGUGAGGAAUCCAGAUCUUUCAAUGUAAAAACAGUUUGACUUCGACUUGACAACUGACGUCAUUACUCGGCAUCUAAGACUGGGACCGAAAAUUAGACGAGAGCGCAACGAACACUACAUAAAAGAUUUUUUCAGUCAAAAUCAAAGAGAAUGGGCAGAUAUGUAUGUGUAGGAUGUACUAAAUCAGGCACAAUGCACUCCAAUUAGGUUGCGUCCCUCUCAACUGUGAAUUCUUGGUUAGAGUACUAAUUGCUAUAUAAAUCAAUCGAACCUUCGGCAAAAGAACGGUAUUUUGUACGUGGUGUUGUUGUAGUCCACGUAAAAGGGCUUCCAUUGGUACAAGAAUUAUAUGAAAACUAUUCGGUACAAAAAAGAAAGGACUCUCAUAGGCUGCAUUCAGCAAUAUUUACAAAGCUACGACCUGGUUACUGCUCUCGGCAAAACAACUGAAACGUUAAACAAACUGCCAUACCCUAACAUGCACGAGACAGCGCAGUCCAACCAACUUUGAGCUUCAAAUUUUGUGAUUCUAUUUCCCAACUCUCGAAUGGAAGGAAUCUUCAACUUCAAGAGGACACACAACCGCAGUAGCUACUGCUGAGGAAGCAAUUAGCACUUCUUAAUUCCCAAUAGUUCGUUUAUGACAGGAACAAUAUGUGAGCAGCUGAAAAAACAUUUCUCCACGAGCUAAGUCCAUACAAUUAUUAAAGGAAACAAGGAAAAUUAAAAUAAAUAAAUAAAUAAAUAAAUAAAACUGCAGAUCGUAGGAGAGGAUUCAAAUUCGCUUGCUACAUCACGAAAGCACCACACCCACGAAACUUAACCUUCGAAAUCCAUCACAGUUGCAAAUUCCUAUGCCCUGAUGUACAUAUAGGUGAGCCAAGAGCCUCGGUUUCGCAUACGCAACAUGCCCAACUGCAUCAUUCAGAGAAUUGUCUUA
RNAcentral lists this long non-coding RNA (1078 nucleotides) under Physcomitrium patens. RNAcentral's name for it is "long non-coding RNA (PPAT_LNC005653)". Lineage: Eukaryota; Viridiplantae; Streptophyta; Bryopsida; Funariales; Funariaceae. The record is from RNAcentral.